GCUUCAUAGUUAUGACGGCUGCAAUCGAAACAGUAUAACUUCUGUAUUGCAGUCUGAUGUUUUCUGAAGC
This is a non-coding RNA of Hymenolepis diminuta, 70 nucleotides long. NCBI's taxonomy places the organism in Eukaryota, Metazoa, Platyhelminthes, Cestoda, Cyclophyllidea, Hymenolepididae. The record is from Rfam.